UACGGGGGGGGCAAGCGUUGUUCGGAAUUACUGGGCGUAAAGGGCGCGUAGGCGGCCUUCUAAGUCAGACGUGAAAUCCCCCGGCUUAACCUGGGAACUGCGUCUGAUACUGGGAGGCUUGAGUAUGGGAGAGGGAUGUAGAAUUCCAGGUGUAGCGGUGAAAUGCGUAGAUAUCUGGAGGAAUACCGGUGGCGAAGGCGGCAUUCUGGACCGAUAUUGACGCUGAGGAGCGAAAGCCAGGGGAGCAAACGGG
Molecule: ribosomal RNA, 253 nt
Filed under: uncultured bacterium
Lineage: Bacteria
Description: partial 16S ribosomal RNA
Rfam family: Bacterial small subunit ribosomal RNA
Source: RNAcentral